AAUCAACGCUGGCGGCGUGCCUAACACAUGCAAGUCGAACGCGAAAGCCCCGCAAGGGGCAAGUAGAGUGGCAAACGGGUGAGUAACACGUGGGUGACCUGCCUUCGAGUGGGGGAUAACGUCCCGAAAGGGACGCUAAUACCGCAUGACAUCCUGCUCUUGGACGAGUGGAGAUCAAAGCCGGGGAUCGCAAGACCUGGCGCUUGAAGAGGGGCCCGCGCCUGAUUAGCUAGUUGGUGAGGUAAUGGCUCACCAAGGCGACGAUCAGUAUCCGGCCUGAGAGGGCGGACGGACACACUGGGACUGAGACACGGCCCAGACUCCUACGGGAGGCAGCAGUGGGGAAUUGUUCGCAAUGGGCGCAAGCCUGACGACGCAACGCCGCGUGGAGGACGAAGAUCUUCGGGUCGUAAACUCCUGUCGAGCGGGAAGAAACCCGCGGGGAUGAAUAAUCCCUGUGGCUGACGGUACCGCUAAAGGAAGCCCCGGCUAACUCCGUGCCAGCAGCCGCGGUAAUACGGGGGGGGCAAGCGUUGUUCGGAAUUACUGGGCGUAAAGGGCCAGUAGGCGGCCAACUAAGUCGGAUGUGAAAUCCCCAGGCUCAACCUGGGAACUGCAUCCGAUACUGGAUGGCUUGAAUUCGGGAGAGGGAUGCAGAAUUCCAGGUGUAGCGGUGAAAUGCGUAGAUAUCU
This 692-nucleotide ribosomal RNA is filed under the name uncultured Acidobacteriota bacterium. RNAcentral describes it as "bacterial SSU rRNA". It matches the Rfam family "Bacterial small subunit ribosomal RNA", at positions 28 to 699 of the family's 1533-position model. The record is from RNAcentral. Lineage: Bacteria; Pseudomonadati; Acidobacteriota.